Molecule: long non-coding RNA, 1009 nt
Filed under: Apteryx rowi (Okarito brown kiwi)
Lineage: Eukaryota; Metazoa; Chordata; Aves; Apterygiformes; Apterygidae
Description: lncRNA (ENSARWG00000012808.1)
Source: RNAcentral
UAUGGUGAAACAACAGAAAUAAUAAAUGUUCUGAACUUUUUUAUCAUCCCUAUAGAAGCAUAAGCAAGUAUGAUUAUGCUCAAAAAGACUAAGAACGGGACUGACCUGAAUUUGUGUAAAACAACAGCCCUAUGCCUGGAGAAAGCAAGCACUGUCACCUGGAAAAGUGGUACAAUUCAGACUGUGAUGUGCUUACCAGGGUGUCCAUGUGCAGGAGGGCAGACUGCUGGGUUUUUAAAGAAAGGAAGGUUGCCAAAUCAUGGGAUGAAUGCCACUGACUUCAGCAAAGCUAAUCCUGCAUACACCAUGGUGAAGCUGAUUCCAUAAAUAACAUUUUCACUAAUGAAUGGGAAUGCAUUUCUGAAAACAGUGGUUUCCAGCCCUUCCAAUCAGGCAGGCAGACAGAGUCUGAAUGCUGCUAUCCUUUGCCUGACAAAUGACUAGACCUACUGAACAGGCACAGACCUACUAUAUAACGUGUACCUGAAACCCAGAAUAGCUUACUGUACAUGUGUUACAGAAUACAUUCACACAGAUAAAGUGUGAGGGGCCCACAAGAAAUAUGGCCAUUACAAAUGGGUCACAGGCUAAACGAACUGCUCUAAUGGUCCUGAUUCAGCACAUAUGGGAGAUUGGCUCAGCAUCCAUUUGUAGCUUAUGCAUUCCUUUGGGGAAAUCUUUGCCUUUGGGAGUAGAACAAUUUAUGAAGUCCUUGAACUGAAAAUAUUUGGAGUCCUUGGAGAAAUGUUUGCCAUGCUUCUACUGUUCUCCAGGCAUCCACUUACAAUGACAGUUGGCUUGGAUUGACCUUGGGCAGGAUGGCUGUUCUGUUCUUUUGGUCAUCUGAUGGUGCAAGAACACUAUGAGUUAAAUUACUAUAAAUCAGCUGUAACUGAAUACUGCUCUGUUUGGUUAUCUUUGAACAUAAUUUCAAUUUUCCAGCCUUACAUCAUUUGGGCUAUUAUGAAACUUAAAUAAAGUACCACAAAGUGCUAAAAAUAAACUUUGA